AUCGGGUCAGACCCGAGGCGCACUGCUCAGUAACACGUGGAGAAUCUGCCCUUAGGUGAGGAAUAACCUCGGGAAACUGAGAAUAAUACCUCAUAGGUUAUGGAUGCUGGAAUGCUUCAUAGCCCAAAGCCCUGGCGCCUAAGGAUGACUCUGCGGACUAUCAGGUAGUAGUCAGGGUAACUACCUGACUAGCCUACGACGGAUACGGGGUGUGAGAGCACUAGCCCGGAUAUGGAUUCAUAUACACGAAUCCAGGCCCUACGGGGUGCAGCAGGCGCGAAACUUCCUCAAUGCUCGCCACAGUGACGGAGGGAUUCCAAGUGCCUAUGCUAUGCGUAGGCUGUCUUUAUGUCUAAAUAACAUGGAGAGUAAGAGCUGGGUAAGACGGGUGCCAGCCGCCACUGUAAUACCUGCAGCUCGAGUGGUAACCGCUAUUAUUGGGCCUAAAGCGUCCGUAGCCGGUUUGGUAAAUAUCUGGGUAAAUCGUGAGGC
Molecule: ribosomal RNA, 492 nt
Filed under: uncultured archaeon
Lineage: Archaea
Description: bacterial SSU rRNA
Rfam family: Archaeal small subunit ribosomal RNA
Source: RNAcentral